UCAAAUUCAUGGUUUCUCACCAGGGAGAUCUGCAGCAGUUGGAAGCUCAUACGGUGUGUGGGGGCAAAAUGGUGCUGUGUGUUGGCAGACUGAGGAGCAGGUAAGACUGGUGAAGUUAUCUCACCCCAUCCCUCAGGAAGAGUCUUCUUUGGUGUUGUAGUUUCUAGAAGUUCUUCUAGGGCAUUUUCAUCUGUCCCAGCUGAGCAGGUUCCUCUUUCCCUGAGCAGCUGUCGUGCCAGCAGAAGGCAUCUGCUCCCCCAGUACCUUCAAGCUGAAAUGGAGGAACAUGCACAGGAGUGAUUCCCUUGUUCUGGUGGCAAGAACAACGGAGCAUAAGUGGUUUUGUUCUCCAUCUACAUUACAGGUGACUUUGACAAAACUGGUUCUUGUGUGUGCACUUCUGUACCAGCUGUGAAUAGCAGGAAUACUCCAGCUGUCCCUAUUAUACCCAUUGCACUGGGUUUGGAUCUUAUUCCUCCCUUUCAUCUCGAAUAAUCAACAUAGGUCUUAGAGGAGCAGAGACCAGCUGUAUUCUUGUUCUGGCAACGAAAGUGAGAUGAUCUAGAGCAAAAGAAGGACAGAAAGAGGAUUGCUGCCUUCUCCUGCAUGUUUUCAGAUCUGCAGUCAGCUCAGCCUGUGACCCAAGGCAAUGUGUGAGACCAUUCUGUUGCUGCAAAUAGUCCAUGUUUGCCAAUCUUUAGAGUUCCCACAAAGCUCAUUGCUGAGAAAAGAGGUAUGCUGGCUGGCUGCCUAGGUACUUGUACUGUUUCUGGGUUACUGUGCAUUUGCAGUGGCAUUAUGGGAGCAGUUAAUUACAAUAAUUUGUUUGUCUAAAACCUCUUCUAUAUGCCUGGAUCUAAACAUAGGAGUUUCAUAAGUCAUCAAAAUUAAAUAACUCAAACAAACAAACAUGAAUUAUAAUUGAGUUUUGAGUCUUCCAACACUCCCAGGUCACCCUGGGACUUGCCAGUCUUGUCAACACUUUAACUUGUUCCGCAGCUUUUGUGAGCAAUCAAGUGGCCGUUGGUGGGGAAGCACUUCUUUGUUUGCUGUUCAGAAUGAGCUGCUCGGGUACGCUGCAUGUGUGCGGCAGACUGAAUGCAUCAACUCCAGAGGCACAGAAAACAGGAUCAGGCAUCUGUAAAUGCUGAAAUCUUGAACAUGUUCGUAUCAAGCCCAAGCCUUGGAAUACAUUAAAUGUUUUCUAUACCAACUAAAAGCACCACUAUAGGGCAGAUUGGAAAUCGAGGACUCAGACAUAUUAGUCUCCCAGCCCUUACUGACCUCUAACAAUCCCUUCUCUUAGUAUUUUCUUUGGCAAAUAAUGGGAAUUUCACAACACAUAGAAAAAGAGCCAAAUUCAGUCUGUACAGAUUCAGUUUGACAGUAUCCCUUUAAAAAUCACUAAGAAAAAACAUGGAAUGGCACUGCUGUCAUAUGGCUUUUCAGAUUGAAACUCUAGAUGAUCAAGAGUGGCUGCUCAUUUUUCAGGACCAAAAGUCAGUGA
This is a long non-coding RNA of Pezoporus occidentalis (night parrot), 1507 nucleotides long. RefSeq lists it as uncharacterized. Lineage: Eukaryota; Metazoa; Chordata; Aves; Psittaciformes; Psittacidae. The transcript is spliced from 3 exons. The record is from RefSeq and is a predicted model, not a curated record.